Molecule: ribosomal RNA, 253 nt
Filed under: uncultured bacterium
Lineage: Bacteria
Description: partial 16S ribosomal RNA
Rfam family: Bacterial small subunit ribosomal RNA
Source: RNAcentral
UACAGAGGUCUCGAGCGUUGUUCGGAUUCAUUGGGCGUAAAGGGUGCGUAGGUGGCGCCGUAAGUCGGGUGUGAAAUUUCGGAGCUUAACUCCGAAACUGCAUUCGAUACUGCGGUGCUUGAGGACUGGAGAGGAGACUGGAAUUCAUGGUGUAGCAGUGAAAUGCGUAGAGAUCAUGAGGAAGACCAGUGGCGAAGGCGGGUCUCUGGACAGUUCCUGACACUGAGGCACGAAGGCCAAGGGAGCAAACGGG